AGAUUCAUCGCUAGUUUUACUUCAGUUCGAAUCCUUCUGAAAGCUUGGGCUGAAAUCGGCCAAAAUUGUUCAUGUUUUUACUUCACUUCUUUGCACCUAUAUACUGUAUUCCUGUCUCUACUUACAGAGAGGGAACUAUACCUG
This 144-nucleotide small RNA is filed under the name Oryza sativa Japonica Group (Japanese rice). RNAcentral describes it as "misc RNA Os09g0115900". The record is from RNAcentral. Lineage: Eukaryota; Viridiplantae; Streptophyta; Magnoliopsida; Poales; Poaceae.